RNAcentral lists this ribosomal RNA (98 nucleotides) under uncultured bacterium. RNAcentral describes it as "partial 16S ribosomal RNA". It matches the Rfam family "Bacterial small subunit ribosomal RNA", at positions 1388 to 1482 of the family's 1533-position model. The record is from RNAcentral.
CACCGCCCGUCACAUCAUGAAAGCCGUUUGUACCCGAAGUCGCCCAAGCCAACCCGCAAGGGACGCAGGCGCCGAAGGUAUGGAUGGUGAUUGGGAUG